CACUAGCUGAGAGAAAUGGAGUUUGGAGGAGGUUGGGAAGUUGCUGGAGUCUUGCGUGUGUGCUGAAAAAGUCUCUGGUGUGUAGCUGUAUGUGUUGCAUGAUGGCGCUGACUGGGUAUAAUUCAAUGUUGGAAGACAGAUACAAUGACACAUGACAGUUAACUCACCGGUCCGGAGCUGUCGACCAGGGU
Molecule: long non-coding RNA, 191 nt
Organism: Polyodon spathula (Mississippi paddlefish)
Lineage: Eukaryota; Metazoa; Chordata; Actinopteri; Acipenseriformes; Polyodontidae
Exons: 3
Source: RefSeq, a predicted model, not a curated record